UGUUUUGGCAGGCCGGGCGGGCCAGCUUCGGCUGGGCCGUCUCCUGUAGGACGGUGUUGAGAACCCGUUUCGGCCUGCCCCCAAC
RNAcentral lists this non-coding RNA (85 nucleotides) under Gynuella sunshinyii YC6258. Lineage: Bacteria; Pseudomonadati; Pseudomonadota; Gammaproteobacteria; Oceanospirillales; Saccharospirillaceae. The record is from RNAcentral.